GUAAGCUUACUUCUAUGGUGUGAUCUGUGAUUGCCUUGGUGGCCCUAGUAGUAGUUGCCGCGCAGCAACAUACUUAGCGGCGCAACAUGUCCAAGGGGGGCCUGGACAACUUUCAUCGGGCCAACUAUCUGUACCAGCUGGCAUGGGCUUCAAUGCGCGUCCGGCCCGACCGGCGUGCUACAUCACACCACUUCUCACACAUGCUCAUAGAGUUCGCCCAGAAAGCUGUGCUGCGGAUGGACAGAGAGAUGAAGCGGACCGUGUGCUCUGCGUGCCACGUGCUGCUCGUGCCGGGUACCACGUGCACGGUGCGCACGCGCAGCCGACCACAGCGCUGUCAGGUGUGGCGGUGCAGCGCCUGCGGCCAGUGUCGCCGCUUCCCCGCGCCCCGACCCCCUGACCGGCGCCGCGGAGGGCACGGCGAGGGGGUGACGAAGAACAGCGCAGCGACGGAGGAGGUGCAGCGUGAACAGAUGGACCGAGGAGAGGGUGGACCGAGUGGAAAACAGGCCACGGGACCGUGUGGAAAUCAGGCCACAGGACCGAGCGGAAAACAGGCCACAGAACCGAGUGGAAACCAGGCCACAGGACCGAGUGGAAACCAGGUCACAGGACCGUGUGGAAACCAGGCCACGGGACCGUGUGGAAAGGAGAGCGCUGGUCCGAGAGGAGAGCAGUCUUCUGGACCGAGUGAAAAGCAGAAUACUGGUCUGAAUGGAAAGCAGAGUACUGGUCCGAAUGGAAAGCAGGGCGCUGGUCCGAGAGGAGCUUUUCCCGCUGGUCCGAGAGGAGCUUUUCCUGCCGGUCCGAGAGGAGCUUUUCCCGCUGGUCCGAGUGGGGCUUUUCCCGCUGGUCCGAGAGGAGCUUUUCCCGCCGGUCCGAGAGGGAAUUGGAACGCCGGUCAUACAGGAAGUUGGAACGCCGGCCCGAGAGGGUAUGGGAACGUCUGUCCGAGAGGGAAUUGGAACGCCGGUCCUACAGGAAGUUGGAACGCCGGCCCGAGAGGGUACGGGAACGCCGGUCCGAGAAGAGGUUGGAACGGAGCUCCCAGUGGAGGGAGGACUGCCGGUCCGACCUGGAAAGCAGGACAGUCGUGGAGACCGGCCGGCCCGAGCAAAUGAUGGGUGAUGUACCGAGGAGAGCUAGUCUGGCUUUGGUAUCGCGAGCUUUCACCCGCUGAUUGGUGUCGUCUUUUGAUCAAAUUAUUUUUUGGUGCCUCGAAAAUCGAGUCACAUAUGAACUGUCCGUUCACUUUUUAUUAUUUAGUUUCGGUAGUGUGAUCUUAACUAACAUUGAGCCAAAUAAUCCAUGUUAAGAAUCUUAAAUGACUAUUGACUAGCAUUCAGAUAUAUAAAUUAUUUAAUGACUCGUAAUGAACUGUGCCUCAAGCGGUACUAGCGUUGUUCAAUGAUCUUGUGUUUGUUACCUGUUGUCAUGCGUUCAUAUAAAAUCUGUCAAUGAAA
RNAcentral lists this unclassified non-coding RNA (1463 nucleotides) under Amphibalanus amphitrite. RNAcentral's name for it is "collagen alpha-2(I) chain-like, transcript variant X3". The record is from RNAcentral. Lineage: Eukaryota; Metazoa; Arthropoda; Thecostraca; Balanomorpha; Balanidae.